CUUACUCGUGAACUCCCUCUUGGCUGACCCCUAAAAAGUAAAAAAAAAGAAAGAAGAAAAUACGAACCAGUUGUAAAUUUUUUCGAAGGUAGUAGUAAUAAAUUAAAUUUUCCCAUUUGGUUUUUAGAAUUUUAUUGCUUCGCCAUCAGUAAUAUUUGACUUGACAUGGAGAAGCGAUUCGAUUAAAAUAUUAAAGUGUUCAUUGAACUGUCUCUGCUAGCGAGAGAGAUCAGGGCGAGGGGUAAUGUUGUCAGGCGGGUCUGUUCGGUGACAACCCUCUACCGCUGGCACUUGGAAAUGUAAUGUCGACAGGGUGCAUCUACGAGCAUAACUCAGAGGCGGAUUUUGGGGCCAUUUUUGAAAGCUUGAAGUGAAAAAAAAAAAGAUUCUGGCAUGUCGAUCACCAUAUCUUGUCGAGCUAUUGGAAUGCAAGAGCGCCUUCUAUUUUAUUUCAGAAAACUUAAAUGGACCGAGCAUUUUGGAGAUGGAUUCUCAGAACGUAGUAACAGCUAUUAUUUUGUAUUUGGAUCGUUCAACGUGAUUCAUAAAUUUUAUUUUUAUAUAUA
Molecule: long non-coding RNA, 566 nt
Filed under: Carica papaya (papaya)
Lineage: Eukaryota; Viridiplantae; Streptophyta; Magnoliopsida; Brassicales; Caricaceae
Description: long non-coding RNA (CPAP_LNC011772)
Source: RNAcentral